Molecule: ribosomal RNA, 468 nt
Filed under: uncultured bacterium
Lineage: Bacteria
Description: partial 16S ribosomal RNA
Rfam family: Bacterial small subunit ribosomal RNA
Source: RNAcentral
GACGAACGCUGGCGGCGUGCUUAACACAUGCAAGUCGAACGGAAAGGCCCUGCUUUUGUGGGGUGCUCGAGUGGCGAACGGGUGAGUAACACGUGAGUAACCUGCCCUUGACUUUGGGAUAACUUCAGGAAACUGGGGCUAAUACCGGAUAGGAGCUCCUGCUGCAUGGUGGGGGUUGGAAAGUUUCGGCGGUUGGGGAUGGACUCGCGGCUUAUCAGCUUGUUGGUGGGGUAGUGGCUUACCAAGGCUUUGACGGGUAGCCGGCCUGAGAGGGUGACCGGCCACAUUGGGACUGAGAUACGGCCCAGACUCCUACGGGAGGCAGCAGUGGGGAAUAUUGCACAAUGGGCGGAAGCCUGAUGCAGCAACGCCGCGUGCGGGAUGACGGCCUUCGGGUUGUAAACCGCUUUCGCUUGUGACGAAGCGUGAGUGACGGUAAUGGGUAAAGAAGCACCGGCUAACUACGUG